This is an RNA transcript of Dreissena polymorpha, 3302 nucleotides long. It is a transcript of the gene named receptor-type tyrosine-protein phosphatase U-like, with no coding region annotated. The transcript is spliced from 14 exons. The record is from RefSeq and is a predicted model, not a curated record. NCBI's taxonomy places the organism in Eukaryota, Metazoa, Mollusca, Bivalvia, Myida, Dreissenidae.
ACGACAAAAUUCGUGUAAAGCUGCCUGUAGUCGGAAACCAUAUCGACUCGGAUUUCAUUAACGCCAGUUUCAUUGAUGGUUAUUUGUCACCAAAGAAGUAUAUUGCAGCCCAAGGGUCACUUGCCUCCACAAUAGUUUAUUUUUGGAGUAUGAUUUGGGAGCAAAAUGUUGGGGUCGUAGCCAUGGUUACAAACCUAGUUGAGAAGUCAAAGAGAAAGUGCUUCCAAUACUGACCAAUAAGCUCUGGAAAUGACUGUCAGUAUAGUGAUUACACAAUACGGCUUCUUUCGGAAGAAACUUACGCUAACUUUGUUGUUCGCACUUUGCACUGCAGAAAGAGUGGGUUAAUUAAAGUACAAACAGUCAACCAUUUACUCUUUACUGCUUUGCCGGACAAAGAUGUUCCAGAUACAGCUCUGUCCCCUAAGCAAUUUUGGCGCAAGGUUCGCAAUGUUGAAAAACCAGACGGAGCUCCGUGGAUCGUACAUUGCAGUGCCGGCGUGGGAAGAAAUGGAAAUUGUUAUCGCACUUGACUAUCUGUACGAUCAAGGGAUAACAGAGAAACAGAUAAAUGUGUUUGAUGCUGUACUCUUACUUCUUCAACAAAGAAUCAAUAUGGUUCAAACCAAGAACCAGUAUUUGUACCUCCACGAAGUUUUGUGUGAAGCGCUUUGUACUGUUGGUGAAAUAUUGGAAAACACGGCUUUUAUUGACACUCCACGCACAUCUGAUUCACUGAACCAGGAAUAUCAGCACAUUUGCAAAUCACACAUCCCUGAUCGAGAAGAAGGUUGGACAGACGGCGAAUAUACGCUAGUCCUAGAUGGCGAAAAGUCAGACAAUCUCAAUAAAAAUGCUGACCUGUGUGUUGUUCCAGAUGAUAGAUACCGCCCUGUACUGAAUAUGACGUUGAAUACUUUGGGACAAAACGAUUAUAUCAACGUUGUUUAUAUUUCGACAUUCGGAGAGAAGGAUAUGUUGAUUCUUACCCAGUCGGCACUUGUGAGCUCAGCAAUAGAUUGUGUUCGGUUGUUUCACGACCACGUUAUCAGAACGGUGGUGACUUUCGCCGACGAGGUGGAACCCUACAUGCCGGGCAGUAGUGAAAGCUGCUUGAUUGGACCAUUCACAGCCACAACUAAGUCUGACACACAUAAACAAGUCUAUAAAGAAUCCGUAGUACAAUUUAAAUAUAUUGCAGAGUAUGAGGGUUUCGAAGUCCGAAUCAUCCGAUUUACGAAAUGGUCGAACACUUUGGACUUUUGCAACAUAAAAGACCUGAUGAGUCUUUUAAUUAGUGUUCAGGAAUGCGCCUGUAGGAGACCAGUCGUUCUUCAGUGUCGUGACGGAUACAGUCAGAGUAGAUUGUUUGCAGUUUUAUAGUGCCUCGUGGAGCGAUGUUAACGGGAUGGGGAGGUGGCGGUGGCAGAAACAGUGAAGAUGAUCAGAAGACGGAGAAAACAAGUCAUCACUAACGAGGCACAAUAUCGGUUCUGCCAACAGUUCAUGAAAGAGUAUAUCGAGGGCAGCCUGGUAUAUGCUAAUACGUAAUGUACUUGGGACAAGAAUACAAAGAUUAAACUUCCUUGAUGGAAUUUAUUUGAGGAAGAUUUUAGUAACUGAAUUAUAGGAGGAACAUAUCGUUUAUCUUCAGGAAAGCAGGACAUGUAUUUUGAGAUGAUUGAUAUCCUCAUGUUGUGUGCACAUAACUGUAUUUUAUAUGCAGAAUAUUACAGAAAAUAACAUGACUCCACGUGUACAUAGUUAAAUCUUUAAAUAUAAUGCAUAUGUUUACAAUUGACAAAUGCUUGAUCUCUAUCUGUUUUUACUUUUACUUUUCGGCCGACCUAAUUGAGCAGCUUGUAUGUGAAGUUUAUGUCAUAAAAUAACCAACCCCAAAGUUAAAAUACGAUAAUAGUUGUGAUACAGCGAAUGAAUUUACAUUGUCGUUCCUUGCUCUCACAUACAACUCUGCGAAAGGCUCAGCUUGCCAUUUUGCCUAUAAAAUAGGUAAAACCGAACAAACGCAAUCAAUGUAUAUUUGAUUGGAUAUUUAAGGUCGCAUGCAUUAAAUUAAGAAAUAUGACUUUUUAAUGUACGAUAAAUCGUGCAAAAACUUGCGAGUUUUAAUGCAACUCUUUGGAACUAUUUUAUUGCCCAUGGCAUCAUUCCACGCACUUCACAAAUGUAAACAAUUGAACAUAAUUUUUAUUGAGUGACGUUAGGAAUUGCUUCGACGCGUGUAUGUAUGUUAGUUUCUUAUCAUCUAAAAAACAUAUCAAUUUUAUAAUAAUCAAUUAAGACUGAUAUAAGACAUCAUGGUAUGAUAUGGUUUUCUUUAAUGCAGUGAAUGCAAUGUAACCGUCGUGCAAGAGAUUGUUUAGUAUACUGUAACCUCAAUGAUGAUUGCUUGGAAUGAUCAUGACAUGAAUGAGACGCUUUCAUAACAAUAGUCCGUUCUGAGCCUAACACAGAGGUGAAUGUAAUGUAACCAUCGUGCAAGAGAUUGGGAUGAUACGAGUGUAAACAAAAUCUAAUGUUUGUAAAUUUCAAUAUGUUCAAGCUCCGGUCGCAUAGCUAAUUUUUCAGAUGACUUAAAUAAAAGACAAUAGAAUGGUGAGACAAGUUUAUUUCCUGAUAAUGUAUCUACAGCUUUUUUUUCCUUAUAUAUAUGCACAAGAAAUGCUAUUGUGCACAUAUGAUAUUGAAUAAGCAAAUUGUGCUCAACGUGUUCAGUGUGAGUUUUAAGUUUACUUUCUACACCAAACAAAUAUUGAGAACUCCAAUGCAUGUAAGCUCUUAGAUGUGUGUAAUAUCUUUAUACAAAGAAUAUAUUCUAUAUUCAGUAAGGAAAUCCCUUUUACGAUUGACUUCGGAUUAUAGUAUGUUAUGUAUUCACGUUUGAAUUAUGCUUGUUAGCAUGCCAUGUAUAACACUAUACAUGAAUGUCAUAAUUACUUUUAUUAGUGCGAUAUGUUUGUGCUUACUGUGAUUUUGCCAUAAGAACAUUUUUAUCAUUUUACAAUUGUGUAACGUUUUUUUAAUUUUCCAAUUAAUUUUUUAUAAACAAAAACACAAAACAAACACAUUUCGUAAACGCAAUGAACACACAUAUAUAUAUAUAUAAGUACAUAACUGUUUAAUGCAUUUUGGAAUCAGAUUCUUGUCAUAACCGGUGUUAACUUUUUUGGUUAUAUUGUGUUCGCUCGCUCUUUUAACAAUUAAAGAGACAUUUCCUGAUAAUCGAACUUGGUGAUUGGGUUUUAUCUGAAACUAGCGAAUAAAUAAAAUCUUAAAAAAUA